UUGGUUGGUUGUGAUUAAUACUUUACCUUUUAUAUUUGUUUUUUUUUUCCUAACAUUAUCAACAUUUAUUUUUUGAUGAAUUAACAAAAUUACAGAUCUCCUCCUCCCAUUCUCUCCCUUCUGCUCCAGUAAAGAGAUUGUGAGAGAGGAUUGCUGUAUUCCAAGAAUCUCACAAGGGAAUGGACAAACAUGCCAGAUUUCUCUCUCUCUCGUUGCAGCGCUGGCUACCUUUAUCCAAUUGACAUAUGGAACUCUCUCCAUUUAGAACACACGAUGCUAUCAUAACCAUAUUCUUUGUUACUGUGCUCGUCCAUGUUGCAUGGAGUGCAUGUGAAGUUAAACUUGAAGCUGCUCACUUCAAAUCAAUUGCUGCCCGCACAUGUCUAGAAUUAUUGCCCUUGUUAUUCUAAUCAUAAUCCUUGACCCAGCCAUUGGGUGGUCACUUUUUUCUUAUGAGUCUUGUUGUUUAUACGGGUUUAUGUGAGGAAUUGUCACAAUUGUGUGAAAUGUUGUAUAAUGCAGUUCUGCCAGCAUAUAGGGGCUUAUCCAAUGUAGUUCUGCAAGCAUAUCCAAGCAUAUGCAGAUCAUGCCAUGACAGAAGAGUUAAAUGUUGAGUCAAUUAGGUCAGUUGUGUAGUCUGACCCGAGCCAUUGAAGACAAUCAUUUGUUGGUGUCUCAUUGGAUUUGUUACCUGACAGUGUUUAUCCAACAAAUGAUUCUCUUCAAUGGCUCGGUCAGGUUACACAAGCGAUCUAGUUGGCUCAGUAUUUAUCGCUUCUGUCAUGCUAUGACCUAUAUAUACUUGAAUAACUGCAUUGUAAAGACCACAUGCUUGGAGAACUACAUUGCAAAGACCCCUAUAUGCUAGAACUGCAUAAAGACCCCAUAAGCUUGGAGAAUUGCCUUGUACAAUGAUUCACACAAUUGUGACCAUUCCUCAUGUAAAGUAUAUGCUACCCAUUGUGCGGGCAGCAAUUGAAUGCUAUAGAUGUACACAUGAAAUUAGACUAUGUAAAACCCUUUUUGUGGUUGUAAGAUUAUUUUUUUUCA
Populus trichocarpa (black cottonwood) is the source of this 1050-nucleotide long non-coding RNA. RefSeq lists it as uncharacterized. Lineage: Eukaryota; Viridiplantae; Streptophyta; Magnoliopsida; Malpighiales; Salicaceae. The transcript has 2 exons. The record is from RefSeq and is a predicted model, not a curated record.